This 253-nucleotide ribosomal RNA is filed under the name uncultured bacterium. RNAcentral's name for it is "partial 16S ribosomal RNA". It matches the Rfam family "Bacterial small subunit ribosomal RNA", at positions 524 to 776 of the family's 1533-position model. The record is from RNAcentral.
UACAGAGGGUGCAAGCGUUGUUCGGAAUUAUUGGGCGUAAAGCGCGUGUAGGCGGCAGACCAAGUCGGCGGUGAAAGCGCCCGGCUCAACUGGGCGAGGUCCGUGGAAACUGGUCAGCUGGAGGACGGUAGAGGCGAGUGGAAUUCCCGGUGUAGUGGUGAAAUGCGUAGAGAUCGGGAGGAACACCUGUGGCGAAGGCGGCUCGCUGGGCCGGUCCUGACGCUGAGACGCGAAGGCGUGGGGAGCGAACGGG